This 305-nucleotide ribosomal RNA is filed under the name Pelobates cultripes (western spadefoot toad). Its description in RNAcentral is "SSU_rRNA_microsporidia". It matches the Rfam family "Eukaryotic small subunit ribosomal RNA", at positions 154 to 470 of the family's 1831-position model. Lineage: Eukaryota; Metazoa; Chordata; Amphibia; Anura; Pelobatidae. The record is from RNAcentral.
AAAUAUUGGGACAUAUAAAAAAAGACAACUCUGUUCCGCAGAGUAGCUGUUGACAUUAUAGUUGCGCAGGCACUUUGUUGACUCUAGAGAACUUCGGGCCAAUCGCACAUCCCUGUGAUGGUGACUUUGCAUUUGGAUGUCAUCCAUAUCAACUUUCGAUGCCAGUUUCUGCGCCUACUAUGGUGACCACGGGUAACGUGGAAUCAGGGUUCCAUUCCAUACAGGGACCCUGAGAAAUGUCUACCAUAUGCAAGGAAGGCAGCAGGCGCGCAAAUGACCCACUCCCAACGCGGGAAGGUAGUGAU